GUCCUACCAACAGAACAAACCCCCCGGCGUAAAAUGCGCCAAGGAAUCUUAAAUGAAAAAAGAAGGUAGCCAGCACCCUAGCGUGCCGGGAACGGAAUUCGCAAGGGCGGUUGGUUUCCUUGUUUAAAAACUAAAUGACUCUCGGCAACGGAUAUCUUGGCUCUCGCAUCGAUGAAAAACGUAGCGAAAUGCGAUACUUGGUGUGAAUUGCAAAAUCCCGUGAACCAUCGAGUUUUUGAACGCAAGUUGCGCCCAAAGCCUUCGGGCCAAGGGCACGUCUGCCUGGGUGUCAUGUAUCGUUGCCCCAUCCAACUCCCUCUGUGGGGAGAUUGGACUAGGGGCGGAAAUUGGUCUCCCGUGUGCUCCCGCUCGCGGUUGGCCGAAAAUCGAGUCGUUGGUGAUAGUGCCACG
This 411-nucleotide ribosomal RNA is filed under the name Passiflora misera. The record is from RNAcentral. Lineage: Eukaryota; Viridiplantae; Streptophyta; Magnoliopsida; Malpighiales; Passifloraceae.